RNAcentral lists this ribosomal RNA (207 nucleotides) under uncultured bacterium. RNAcentral's name for it is "partial 16S ribosomal RNA". It matches the Rfam family "Bacterial small subunit ribosomal RNA", at positions 568 to 774 of the family's 1533-position model. The record is from RNAcentral.
AGCGCAGACGGCGAAGCAAGUCUGAAGUGAAAUGCAUGGGCUCAACCCAUGAAUUGCUUUGGAAACUGUUUGGCUUGAGUGUCGGAGGGGUAAGCAGAAUUCCUAGUGUAGCGGUGAAAUGCGUAGAUAUUAGGAGGAACACCGGAGGCGAAGGCGGCUUACUGGACGACAACUGACGUUGAGGCUCGAAGGCGUGGGGAGCAAACA